Long non-coding RNA from Ruditapes philippinarum (Manila clam), 613 nucleotides. RefSeq lists it as uncharacterized. Lineage: Eukaryota; Metazoa; Mollusca; Bivalvia; Venerida; Veneridae. The record is from RefSeq and is a predicted model, not a curated record. The transcript has 2 exons.
AAAGUGUUUUUUAUAGUAUAUGUAUGGGAUUUUUUUUUAAUCGUUAUUUUUUUAUUUUGGAUAGAAUUUCAGGUUCCUGUGCUCUGAUCUUUCGUCUCUCACUUGAAAGUUGAUUCGACCUAGUCAGCAGGGUAGCAAGACACCUCAUCCCCCAGACACUUCACCCGUCAGACACUUCACCCCUCCAAUUUUGAAGACACCUCAUCCCUUCAGACACUUCACCCCCCAAAAUCAGUAAGACACUUCACCCCUCAUCCAAUUUUUUUCUAUAAAGUAAAUAAAACAAGUUGGUCAACAACAAAAUGCGUAUAAUUUUAUAUGUUUAUAUUUAUUAUUUUUAGUAUUAUUUGAUUAAAAAUUUUGCUUAUUACCUUUAUUUUUACUAAGUUUUAAGCUGAUUUAGGUUAAUUGGUUGUAUUGCCAAAUGAUAUAUAACUACACUUUCAUCCAUUAAGUUUUUAUUGCAUGUCACCUUGUUUAUUCAACAUGUUGAUUAGAUCUAGUUGUUUAUUCAACGGUUAUCUCACAAUUGAUUAGAUAAUUGAAUUAAAAUGGUAUAAUUGUAUGAAAAUUAAAUUUAUUCUUAAUAAAUAAAUUUAAUAAAUAAAUAAAU